GGGUACUCGAGCGGCGAACGGGUGAGUAACACGUGAGCAACCUGCCCCAGGCUUUGGGAUAACCCUCGGAAACGGGGGCUAAUACCGAAUAUGACUUCGGCUCGCAUGGGGUGUGGUGGAAAGUUUUUCGGCUUGGGAUGGGCUCGCGGCCUAUCAGCUUGUUGGUGGGGUAAUGGCCUACCAAGGCGACGACGGGUAGCCGGCCUGAGAGGGCGACCGGCCACACUGGGACUGAGACACGGCCCAGACUCCUACGGGAGGCAGCAGUGGGGAAUAUUGCACAAUGGGCGGAAGCCUGAUGCAGCGACGCCGCGUGAGGGAUGACGGCCUUCGGGUUGUAAACCUCUUUCAGCAGGGACGAAGCGAAAGUGACGGUACCUGCAGAAGAAGCACCGGCCAACUACGUGCCAGCAGCCGCGGUAAGACGUAGGGUGCGAGCGUUGUCCGGAUUUAUUGGGCGUAAAGAGCUCGUAGGCGGCUUGUCGCGUCGACCGUGAAAACUUGGGGCUCAACCCCAAGCCUGCGGUCGAUACGGGCAGGCUAGAGUUCGGUAGGGGAGACUGGAAUUCCUGGUGUAGCGGUGAAAUGCGCAGAUAUCAGGAGGAACACCGGUGGCGAAGGCGGGUCUCUGGGCCGAUACUGACGCUGAGGAGCGAAAGCGUGGGGAGCGAACAGGAUUAGAUACCCUGGUAGUCCACGCUGUAAACGUUGG
This 712-nucleotide ribosomal RNA is filed under the name Micromonospora sp. YIM 64649. RNAcentral's name for it is "bacterial SSU rRNA". It matches the Rfam family "Bacterial small subunit ribosomal RNA", at positions 85 to 812 of the family's 1533-position model. Lineage: Bacteria; Bacillati; Actinomycetota; Actinomycetes; Micromonosporales; Micromonosporaceae. The record is from RNAcentral.